This is a long non-coding RNA of Armigeres subalbatus, 344 nucleotides long. RefSeq lists it as uncharacterized. The transcript has 3 exons. NCBI's taxonomy places the organism in Eukaryota, Metazoa, Arthropoda, Insecta, Diptera, Culicidae. The record is from RefSeq and is a predicted model, not a curated record.
UCGCCAUCGUUUUCGAAUGCAAAAUUAGUUCGUGAUUAUUGAAAGCAAUUAAAAUAUACUGUUUCUUGUGACAUAAAAGCUUGAAAUAAGUAAUUAAAAUCAGCAGGGAAAAGUUCGGUCAGUUGCGAUACCACUUCCAACACGGUGAAGCUACAAUUUAUUAUUCGGAUUAAUAAAUUCGGAUUCUGGCGACAAAUUAGGUUGAUCCGCUGAACCAGUAUUGUAGAUUCAGUUUGACGACGAGCAGGUUCGCUUAAAAGGUAGGGUAGUUGAACCGUACUUCAACACCCAAAACCAAAAGGAAUCGAGGAGCAUAGGUAUUCAGGAAGGAAACCAGUUUAUUU